This 372-nucleotide ribosomal RNA is filed under the name uncultured bacterium. RNAcentral describes it as "bacterial SSU rRNA". It matches the Rfam family "Bacterial small subunit ribosomal RNA", at positions 28 to 404 of the family's 1533-position model. The record is from RNAcentral.
GACGAACGCUGGCGGCGUGCUUAACACAUGCAAGUCGAGCGGUAAGGCCCUUCGGGGUACACGAGCGGCGAACGGGUGAGUAACACGUGGGUGACCUGCCUCUAGCUCUGGGAUAAGCCUGGGAAACUGGGUCUAAUACCGGAUAUGACUCCACGGCGCAUGUUGUGGGGUGGAAAGCCUUGUGUGGCUAGAGAUGGGCCCGCGGCCUAUCAGCUUGUUGGUGGGGUGAGGCCUACCAAGGCGACGACGGGUAGCCGGCCUGAGAGGGCGACCGGCCACACUGGGACUGAGACACGGCCCAGACUCCUACGGGAGGCAGCAGUGGGGAAUCUUGCGCAAUGGGCGAAAGCCUGACGCAGCGACGCCGCGUGA